Molecule: small nucleolar RNA, 107 nt
Organism: Ipomoea nil (Japanese morning glory)
Lineage: Eukaryota; Viridiplantae; Streptophyta; Magnoliopsida; Solanales; Convolvulaceae
Rfam family: Plant small nucleolar RNA R71
About the family: R71 is a member of the C/D box family of snoRNAs containing the C (UGAUGA) and D (CUGA) box motifs. Multiple nearly identical copies of this snoRNA have been identified in Arabidopsis, and it is thought to function as a 2'-O-ribose methylation guide for 18S ribosomal RNA.
Source: Rfam
AAUUGAUGGUGUGGACAUUGUGUCAAAAGCAAUUUAAAACGAUCCCAUGCUUCAUGAAAUAAUUCACCCUCUCUUUGAGUGAAAGUGCAUAUCCUACUCCUAUAGUC